GACGUAGGGCGCGAGCGUUGUCCGGAUUUAUUGGGCGUAAAGAGCUCGUAGGCGGCUGUUCAAGUCGAACGUGAAAACUCGGAGCUCAACUCCGAGCCUGCGUUCGAUACUGGACGGCUAGAGUCUGGUAGGGGGAUCUGGAAUUCCUGGUGUAGCGGUGGAAUGCGCAGAUAUCAGGAGGAACACCGGUGGCGAAGGCGGGUCUCUGGGCCGUAACUGACGCUGAGGAGCGAAAGCAUGGGGAGCGAACAGG
Molecule: ribosomal RNA, 253 nt
Filed under: uncultured bacterium
Lineage: Bacteria
Description: partial 16S ribosomal RNA
Rfam family: Bacterial small subunit ribosomal RNA
Source: RNAcentral